RNAcentral lists this long non-coding RNA (253 nucleotides) under Solanum tuberosum (potato). RNAcentral's name for it is "long non-coding RNA (STUB_LNC006425)". Lineage: Eukaryota; Viridiplantae; Streptophyta; Magnoliopsida; Solanales; Solanaceae. The record is from RNAcentral.
GUGGCCAGUAGUAGUACCAACAGGUAAUCGACAUGUUCACCAUCAGUAGUACCAAGAAAACCAAUUCAAAAUUACACCAAGAAAAUCAGUAAUACAAUAAACAUGCAGUCAACAUUUUCACCAAAUUAAUUACCAAAACAUAUAUUAUCACUAAAUAUAUUUGUAUUUCGAUUGUCAAAACCCUAAAAAAAAAUGAAUUAAUUAAAAUAUAUAUGAACAUGGAUUUGGUGAAUAACAAAAACAUAUAUUACAC